GCUGGCGGCGUGCCUAAUACAUGCAAGUCGAACGGUCUUUUCUAUGGAAGCUUGCUUCCACUGAGAAGAUAGUGGCGAACGGGUGAGUAACACGUGGGUAACCUGCCCAUAAGGAGGGGGAUAACAUCCGGAAACGGGUGCUAAUACCGCAUAGUUUUUCUUGAUCACAUGAUUGAGAAAGGAAAGACGGCCUUUGUGCUGUCGCUUAUGGAUGGACCCGCGGCGUAUUAGUUAGUUGGUGAGGUAACGGCUCACCAAGACGAUGAUACGUAGCCGACCUGAGAGGGUGAUCGGCCACAUUGGGACUGAGACACGGCCCAAACUCCUACGGGAGGCAGCAGUAGGGAAUCUUCCGCAAUGGACGAAGUCUGACGGAGCAACGCCGCGUGAGUGAAGAAGGUUUUUCCGGAUCGUAAAACUCUGUUGUCAGAGAAGAACAAGUUGGAGAGUAACUGCUCCAGCCUUGACGGUAUCUGACCAGAAAGCCACGGCUAACUACGUGCCAGCAGCCGC
RNAcentral lists this ribosomal RNA (513 nucleotides) under uncultured bacterium. RNAcentral describes it as "bacterial SSU rRNA". It matches the Rfam family "Bacterial small subunit ribosomal RNA", at positions 35 to 518 of the family's 1533-position model. The record is from RNAcentral.